UUGCCAUCCCUAAGUUUAUAUGAUUAUCUUCUUUUCCAUAUUUAUUUCAAUAACAAGUGGUAAGUAAUUUUUAUUUUCGCUUUUAAAUUCGUUGAACUCUAGUAUCUUAAAAUUUAGUUUGAUGUAAUGGUAUUUCUAUACAAAAUUGAAUAUUAUAUUUUUAUAUUAUUUUAUAGGGUUAUAAAUAAAAUAAUUCUUUGAUAAACAUAGAGUAUUCAUUAGUGUGAUUUUUGACGAAUUAACAACAGCACAACACUAUUUUACACUAUUUUCAAAUAUUCUAAAAAUCUUACAUUAGGAUGUAUACUAAAAAAAAGUCAUAUUUUUGCAUGAUUUUUAGAUUUUCCCUUCUCUAUUAUGAAGGGAUAAAAUAGAAAUAAAAAAAUAUAAUGGAAGGUCAAGUUAUAAAUUGAAUGAGCUAAAGAGACAUAUGUUUUAUACAUACAUCUAAGAAACAUUAAUUUAAUAAUUAUAAUGAUUUUAAGAAUAGUACUUCAUAUUAACAAACAUGAAUUUUGUUUCACACUAUAAAGCUAACAAAUGAUUCUAAUUUCCAAAUUUAUAAAAGAGAAAGCUAUGGUUAAAGUUUAUAUGUUUAUUUAUGCUAUGAUUAUCUUCUUUUCCAUAUUUAUUUCAAUAACAAGUGCUACGUGCCGAAAUAACAUGGAUUGUCAACAUCAUCUAUGUGUCGACGCUGGCGAUAUUCCAGUCUGCAUCUUUUGGGUUACGGAGCCCGACUUUUUAAGGACCGAGUUUGGGAUUUGUGCUUGUGUUGGGAAGGUCACAGCACACAAAAUUAGUGGCUAGCUUGUGAAUGUAUACAUAUUUAUAAAGAUGCUGUAAAAGUUAAUUAAAAUAAAAAUAAAAUUAUGUUGCUGCUCUUA
Long non-coding RNA from Trifolium pratense (red clover), 884 nucleotides. RefSeq lists it as uncharacterized. The record is from RefSeq and is a predicted model, not a curated record. Lineage: Eukaryota; Viridiplantae; Streptophyta; Magnoliopsida; Fabales; Fabaceae. The transcript is spliced from 2 exons.